Molecule: ribosomal RNA, 393 nt
Filed under: uncultured bacterium
Lineage: Bacteria
Description: partial 16S ribosomal RNA
Rfam family: Bacterial small subunit ribosomal RNA
Source: RNAcentral
AUACGGAGGAUGCGAGCGUUAUCCGGAUUUAUUGGGUUUAAAGGGUGCGUAGGUGGUAAUUUAAGUCAGCGGUGAAAGUUUGUGGCUCAACCAUAAAAUUGCCGUUGAAACUGGGUUACUUGAGUGUGUUUGAGGUAGGCGGAAUGCGUGGUGUAGCGGUGAAAUGCAUAGAUAUCACGCAGAACUCCAAUUGCGAAGGCAGCUUACUAAACCAUAACUGACACUGAAGCACGAAAGCGUAGGUAUCAAACAGGAUUAGAUACCCUGGUAGUCCACGCAGUAAACGAUGAUUACUAGGAGUUUGCGAUACACGGUAAGCUCUACAGCGAAAGCGUUAAGUAAUCCACCUGGGGAGUACGCCGGCAACGGUGAAACUUAAAGGAAUUGACGGGG